AGAGUUUGAUCAUGGCUCAGGACGAACGCUGGCGGCGCGCCUAACACAUGCAAGUCGAACGGGGAAGUUAGCAAUAACUUCUUAGUGGCGAACGGGUGAGUAACGCGUAGACAACCAACCUUGCAGUGGGGGACAACACUUCGAAAGGAGUGCUAAUACCGCAUACGCUCUUCAGAUCGCAUGGUUUGAAGAGGAAAGGAGCCGCAAGGCUUCACUGCAAGACGGGUCUGCGUCUGAUUAGCUGGUUGGGGGGGUAACGGCCCACCAAGGCGACGAUCAGUAGCCGGUCUGAGAGGAUGAACGGCCACACUGGGACUGAGACACGGCCCAGACUCCUACGGGAGGCAGCAGUGGGGAAUCUUCCGCAAUGGACGAAAGUCUGACGGAGCGACGCCGCGUGAGUGAUGAAGGCCCUUGGGUCGUAAAGCUCUGUCAUUGGGGACGAACGAGCACGUCAGGAAAUGGGCGUGAAGUGACGGUACCCGGGAAGGAAGCCACGGCUAACUACGUGCCAGCAGCCGCGGUAAUACGUAGGUGGCAAGCGUUGUCCGGAAUUAUUGGGCGUAAAGCGCGCGCA
This 577-nucleotide ribosomal RNA is filed under the name uncultured Veillonellaceae bacterium. RNAcentral's name for it is "bacterial SSU rRNA". It matches the Rfam family "Bacterial small subunit ribosomal RNA", at positions 8 to 573 of the family's 1533-position model. Lineage: Bacteria; Bacillati; Bacillota; Negativicutes; Veillonellales; Veillonellaceae. The record is from RNAcentral.